GCGGGCGUGGCGAAACUGGUAGACGCAACGGACUUAAAAUCCGUAGGGCCGCGAGGCCUGUGCCGGUUCGAUUCCGGCCGCCCGCACCA
RNAcentral lists this transfer RNA (89 nucleotides) under Methylocystis sp. RNAcentral's name for it is "tRNA-Leu". It matches the Rfam family "tRNA". From Rfam's summary of the family: Transfer RNA (tRNA) molecules are approximately 80 nucleotides in length. Their secondary structure includes four short double-helical elements and three loops (D, anti-codon, and T loops). Lineage: Bacteria; Pseudomonadati; Pseudomonadota; Alphaproteobacteria; Hyphomicrobiales; Methylocystaceae. The record is from RNAcentral.